RNAcentral lists this ribosomal RNA (498 nucleotides) under Triticum aestivum (bread wheat). Its description in RNAcentral is "partial small subunit ribosomal RNA". Lineage: Eukaryota; Viridiplantae; Streptophyta; Magnoliopsida; Poales; Poaceae. The record is from RNAcentral.
AUGAACGCCGGAGCAGCGGCGAAGGGUAAGGGAGCUGCGGACGCGGAGCAGCGGCAGAGGGUUAAGGAGCUGCGGACGGCGGAGCAGCGGCGGACCUUGGGCUCUCGAUUGGAGCGGAGGGUGGCGCCGGCGAGGGACCUGCGGCCGACGGGGAAGGAUGUCGAAGUUGCGGCGGAGGGUGAGGGAGCUGCGGACGGCGGAGCAGCGCAGCAACGGCAGACCUCAGUGACGGAGCUCUCAAUUGGAGUGGAGGCAGGCAGCCGGCGGGGAAGGACAACGGCGCUGCGGCGGAGGGAGACAGAGCUGCGGAUGGCGGAGCAGCGCAGCAACAGCCGAAAUCAGGCUCUUGAUUGGGGCGGAGGUAGGCGGCCGGCGGGGAAGGACGGCGGAGCAGCGAAGGAGCUUCCAAGCCACGGGACGAGGGCCAGGAUGGAGAAGAUUCAAAACUGGGAGGACCUUUUUGCAAAAUGUUAUUUCUAUAGCGCUCGCGACAAGUAA